This 480-nucleotide ribosomal RNA is filed under the name uncultured bacterium. Its description in RNAcentral is "SSU rRNA". It matches the Rfam family "Bacterial small subunit ribosomal RNA", at positions 26 to 523 of the family's 1533-position model. The record is from RNAcentral.
AGGACGAACGCUGGCGGCGUGCUUAACACAUGCAAGUCGAGCGGAAAGGCCCUUCGGGGUACUCGAGCGGCGAACGGGUGAGUAACACGUGAGCAACCUGCCCUCAGCUCUGGGAUAGCUCCGGGAAACCGGAAUUAAUACCGGAUAUGACCCUGACUGACAUCGGUCAGGGUGGAAAGGAUUCCGGCUGAGGAUGGACUCGCGGCCUAUCAGCUAGUUGGUGGAGUAACGGCCCACCAAGGCGACGACGGGUAGCCGGCCUGAGAGGGCGACCGGCCACACUGGGACUGAGACACGGCCCAGACUCCUGCGGGAGGCAGCAGUGGGGAAUAUUGCGCAAUGGGCGAAAGCCUGACGCAGCGACGCCGCGUGGGGGAUGAAUGCCUUCGGGUUGUAAACCCCUUUCAGCAGGGACGAAGCGAGAGUGACGGUACCUGCAGAAGAAGCGCCGGCUAACGUACGCGCCAGCAGCCGCGGUAA